GACGAACGCUGGCGGCGUGCUUAACACAUGCAAGUCGAACGGAAAGGCCCUGCUUUUGUGGUGUGCUCGAGUGGCGAACGGGUGAGUAACACGUGAGUAAUCUGCCCUUCACUUUGGGAUAACUUCAGGAAACUGGGGCUAAUACCGGAUAGGAGCUUUUUCUGUAUGGUGGGGGGUGGAAAGUUUCGGCGGGUGGGGAGGGACUCGCGGCUUAUCGGCUUGUUGGUGGGGGAGUGGCUUACCAAGGCAUGGACGGUUGGCCGGCCGGAGAGGGUGACCGGCCACAUUGGGACUGAGAUACGGCCCGGACUCCUACGGGAGGCAGCAGUGGGGAAUAUUGCACAAUGGGCGGAAGCCUGAUGCAGCAACGCCGCGUGCGGGAUGACGGCCUUCGGGUUGUAAACCGCUUUCACCAGGAACGAAGCGUGAGUGACGGUACUUGGAUAAGAAGCACCGGCUAACUACGUG
RNAcentral lists this ribosomal RNA (468 nucleotides) under uncultured bacterium. RNAcentral's name for it is "partial 16S ribosomal RNA". It matches the Rfam family "Bacterial small subunit ribosomal RNA", at positions 28 to 507 of the family's 1533-position model. The record is from RNAcentral.